AAUUCAACUGGUUAAUUCAGCAAUUCAUCUUCUACUCAUGGAGCGUACCAAUGAAAAAAACUUUCAAGAUUUUCAAGUCCCCAGGAGUAUGAUCUUGUGAACAAGUACAAUUAUGUUGCAAGCCUUUGGAAAAGGGUAUCAACAGUAACUGGAGAAUUAC
Molecule: long non-coding RNA, 160 nt
Organism: Neltuma alba
Lineage: Eukaryota; Viridiplantae; Streptophyta; Magnoliopsida; Fabales; Fabaceae
Exons: 3
Source: RefSeq, a predicted model, not a curated record